UAAUUAGCCAAUUAAUUGGCUAAUUAAAUAUGAAAGGAAAUGUUUUUGUGCUUUAUGGUGUUGAUUGGCUAAUAAAAGGGAAGAGAUGAUGGAAAAGGUAGAAAAAAUGUGAUGUAUUAGGUUUUGAAUGGGGUAGCCGGCCCUAUUCUAUUUUUUAGGUUUGAAUGGAUGUUUCAAAUUGAUAUUAAAGGAUGAUUUUAGGAGAUAUGGGAAGAAUAUAUUAUUUUAGAUAAAUAAUAUAUUAGGAAAAUUAAAUUUUGGAAAUAAUUACCUAAAAUAAGAUAAUUUGGAAUUGGUUACCUCUUCUGGAGCAUUUUUGAUUUGGUUGAGGAUGAUUACCCUCUACUUGCGCGUAGGAAUCCCGGUAUGCCUCAAGGGUAUUUUUUGUCCUCUUUCGUUCAAAAGUCCACGUGUCGCUUAGUGAAUAUUUUUGGCUCCACA
This 441-nucleotide long non-coding RNA is filed under the name Malus domestica (apple). Its description in RNAcentral is "long non-coding RNA (MDOM_LNC016434)". Lineage: Eukaryota; Viridiplantae; Streptophyta; Magnoliopsida; Rosales; Rosaceae. The record is from RNAcentral.